ACGAACGCUGGCGGCAUGCCUAACACAUGCAAGUCGAACGAGACCUUCGGGUCUAGUGGCGCACGGGUGCGUAACGCGUGGGAACCUGCCCUUAGGUUCGGAAUAACUCCCCGAAAGGGGUGCUAACACCGGAUAAUGUCUUCGGACCAAAGAUUUAUCGCCUUUGGAUGGGCCCGCGUUGGAUUAGCUAGUUGGUAGGGUAAAAGCCUACCAAGGCGACGAUCCAUAGCUGGUCUGAGAGGAUGAUCAGCCACACUGGGACUGAGACACGGCCCAGACUCCUACGGGAGGCAGCAGUGGGGAAUAUUGGACAAUGGGCGAAAGCCUGAUCCAGCAAUGCCGCGUGAGUGAUGAAGGCCUUAGGGUUGUAAAGCUCUUUUACCCGGGAUGAUAAUGACAGUACCGGGAGAAUAAGCUCCGGCUAACUCCGUG
This 432-nucleotide ribosomal RNA is filed under the name uncultured bacterium. RNAcentral describes it as "partial 16S ribosomal RNA". It matches the Rfam family "Bacterial small subunit ribosomal RNA", at positions 29 to 507 of the family's 1533-position model. The record is from RNAcentral.